Molecule: ribosomal RNA, 468 nt
Filed under: uncultured bacterium
Lineage: Bacteria
Description: partial 16S ribosomal RNA
Rfam family: Bacterial small subunit ribosomal RNA
Source: RNAcentral
GACGAACGCUGGCGGCGUGCUUAACACAUGCAAGUCGAACGGAAAGGCCCUGCGUUUGUGGGGUGCUCGAGUGGCGAACGGGUGAGUAACACGUGAGUAACCUGCUCUUGACUUUGGGGUAAGUUCAGGAAACUGGGGUUAAUACCGUAUAGGAUCUCCUGCUGCAUUGUGGGGGUUGGAAAGUUUCGGCGGUUGGGGAUGGACUCGCGGCUUAUCAGCUUGUUGGUGGGGUAGUGGCUUACCAAGGCUUUGACGGGUAGCCGGCCUGAGAGGGUGACCGGCCACAUUGGGACUGAGAUACGGCCCAGACUCCUACGGGAGGCAGCAGUGGGGAAUAUUGCACAAUGGGCGGAAGCCUGAUGCAGCAACGCCGCGUGCGGGAUGACGGCCUUCGGGUUGUAAACCGCUUUCGCCUGUGACGAAGCGUGAGUGACGGUAAUGGGUAAAGAAGCACCGGCUAACUACGUG